UUUUUGAAACAGGCUCUGAGACGCGUACACACCGCCCGUCACCCUCCCCAAAACCUAACAACAUCAGUAGCUAACAAGCCAACAUCAAAUAGCGGGGAGGCAAGUCGUAACAUGGUAAGUGUACCGGAAGGUGCACUUGGAACA
Molecule: ribosomal RNA, 144 nt
Filed under: Hydrocynus sp.
Lineage: Eukaryota; Metazoa; Chordata; Actinopteri; Characiformes; Alestidae
Description: partial 12S ribosomal RNA
Source: RNAcentral